Long non-coding RNA from Brassica napus (rape), 4810 nucleotides. RefSeq lists it as uncharacterized. The record is from RefSeq and is a predicted model, not a curated record. The transcript has 3 exons. Lineage: Eukaryota; Viridiplantae; Streptophyta; Magnoliopsida; Brassicales; Brassicaceae.
UGUUACAUUUCUACAUCUGGAACCACUAUAUUGCUGUGGAAAAGGAUAUAAUAAGGUUCGUUUUGGUUCUUAUUUCGCAUGUUCUGUAACGUAGUACUUAGAUCUGGUUAUAUUGUGAAAACAUAGACAUUUAUUCAAAUGGGCGGAUGAGUGUUUGAUUGAAGAGGUUGAGGAUAUUAAGUCAUUGAUAAGUGGCAUGAACAAAGACAUCUCGGAAUUCAGACUUAGCAUUGCUCAGUUGGAGAAAGAGAUUGAAGUAAUGAAGACGACAUCUGAGGGAAAAGGAGAAGAAUGUAUGAGUCAGGGUCGGUGUUUGAGGAAUGUGUUUGUUUGUGGGGUUGGAAUGUCGUUACUUUGCUACUACUACUACUUUGUUUAGUAAUGUUUUGUAAGUCAGCCUAUGUUUUAUGUAACUCAGACUUAACGUAUUAAAGUAUCUCAGCCGUGAAGCAAACAAAUGAUAACAUUGUUUACAAACUCAGCCGUGAAGCAAACAAAUGAUAACAUUGUUUACAAACUCAGCCGUGAAGCAAAUAAAUGAUAACAUUGUUUAGAAACUCAGCCGUUAUGUAUAAAGUAACUCAGUUGUAAAGUGUAAGAGCACGUAUAACCCUGUAUCUUAGGGGGACUCUUAAUGAAAAUUAAAAUUAAAAGAAAAACAAAAAUGGCAAUUUAAAGAAGAAACGUUCCUUAAUCUGGGGUUAGAAGGAAGGUGUCUUAGGUACACGUGUUAGAUUUCGGGGGAGGAAGAGAAAGAGAGAGAAAGGAAAAAAACUGGUCUUGUCUUCAUUGUUUCAUUCGGUCCUCUCGCUUUCUCUCUCUGUCUCUCCGUCGGUCCCGACUCUGCAUGCGUCGGAGACGAAUCGGCGAUGCUAUUUUGUGAAUCGAAAGGCUGAUCGAAGAGGUCGUCUCUCUCUCUCUCUCUCUCUCUCUCUCUCUCUCUCUCUCUCUCUCUCUCUCUCUCUCUCUCGCUCCCCAAAAUCGCAUGCGUCUGAGGCUCAUCGAAGAGGCUGUUCUGUGAAUCGAAAGGCCAAUCAAAGAGGCUGUCUCUAUCUCUCUCUCUGUCGCUCCCGAAAACCGCAUGUGUCUGAGUCGAAGCGAAGGAGCCGCAUCAACAAUCAAAAGGCAACAAUCGAAAGUCUCAGGCGGUACCGGAAACCACUUGCAACUGUGUGGAAGCGAGACAGCUGAGUCAAAUUGAAAGGUGAAACGCAUAAGCUUUGCGGUCCUGUGAUGCGGAUUAACUUGGUUGAAGGUGAAACGCAGAAGCUCUCAAUAAAUUCCAAGUUCUUCUCGGCAAAGUCAAGGUUUGUUCCCUCCUUUACAGUUGUUACUGAAAUGAAUAUGUCUUGAUUAUGAUUAGAAUAGAACUGGGGAUAAUAAAUGUUGUAUACUGUUAGUUAAUGGUUGGCUUAGGUAAUAAAUAUGUGGUUGAUCGAUUGUUGUUGUGGGAUGAAUGUGAAUAGAUAGGAUCGAUUGUUGUUGUGUAAUGAAUGUGAUUAGAUAGGAACGAUUGUGGUUGUGUGAUGAAUGAGUUUAGAUAUAUGUCUAGUCCAUUUAAACUUCUCUUCCAUCUAUUUAACUCAAUCUCAUCCAUCUAAAAUUUCUAACUUCUCUUCCAUCUAUUUAAACUUCUCUUCUUUAUCAUCUCUUCUUUAUCGUCUCUUCUUUAUCAUCUCCUCCAUCUCUCUUAUAAUCCGUAUCAGUAUGGAUUAUAAUCCAUAUGCAAAUUAUGCUGAUCUUCUUAAUAGUCAACAAGAAAGUGUGACUUCUUUUGACUCUCCGCCAGUUCAUGUGGCUCGCACAGAAGGCACUGAAGAUUCAUGCUUCGGUGACACUCCUGCAGACCGUAGAGAGCGAAGAACCUGGACGCCUACAGAUGAUAUAGUUCUAAUUAGCUCGUGGUUAAACACUUCUAAAGAUCCCGUUGUAGGGAAUGAGUAAAAUUCAUGUGCAUUCUGGAAGAGAAUUGCGGCCUUCUUUGCGGCUAGUCCUAAGCUUGCAGGCUGUGAAAGAAGAGAGUCAAUGCACUGCAAGCAACGUUGGCACAAGAUCAAUGAUCUUGUGUGCAAGUUCUGUGGAGCAUAUGAAGCUGCAGGUUCACAAUCCUGUGUGCAAGUUCUGUGGAGCAUAUGAAGCUGCAGGGAGAGAGAGAACAAGUGGCCAAAAUGAGAAUGAUAUUCUCAAACAAGCUCACAAAAUAUUCUUCAACAACUAUAAAAAAAAUUCACACUCGAGCAUGCGUGGAAAGAGCUUCGCAACGACCAGAAAUGGUGUGAUUUAUCUACUGCUAAAACCACCAAAAGCUCUAAAAAGAGGAAGUGUGAGGACGGUUCACAAUCCUCAACAUCUCACGCAACUGACUACAAGGCUGGUGAAGCGGAUGAGGGAACUGCUAGGCCCACUGGUGUUAAGGCAGCGAAGAGCCGUGGUAAGAAGAUAAUGGAAGAGGGGAAGGGGCUGGCCGAGUUUGAGCGUAUGUGGUCCAUUAAACAAGAGGAUUUGACUAGGAAAGAAAGACUCUCGAAGUUGGGUCUACUUGACCGUCUACUAGCAAAGACAGAACCAUUGGCUGAGUACGAAGAAGCUCUAAAAAAGAACCUCAUCAACGAGUUGUUCUCCACUUAGUUUAAGUUUUAUGGUUUUUGUUGUUUGGACUUUGUCAAAAAUGCAUCUUUAUGACUUGUUGUUUGAACGUUGUCGUGAAUUAAUAUGAGUUGUUGUUUUUUGGUUAUGACAAGAAUGUAUCUCUAUGACUUGUUGUUUGAACGUUCUCGUGAAUUAAUAUGAGUUGUUGUUUCUUGGUUAUGACAAGAAUGUAUUUCUAUGAGUUGUUGUUUGUUGGUCAUGUUCUGUUGUUAACAUGUUCUUCUCGAGUGUAAUUAUUUCAGGUAAAGCCGGGUGUGGAAAACUGGUGUAAAGUGAGAGAACACUCACGAGCUCUGUCACAGAGUUGUAAAGGCAUGAAAGUGACAAGUUUUGGAAUUUUCUGUCACAGACUUGUAUUGUUUUGUAUUGGUGUGUCACGAGUUAUGAAAGUGUCAUGCGCUUUGUAUUGGUGUGUCACCAGAAUAUUGUAAACUCUCAUGUUUUGUAAUGGUGUGUCACGAGUUAAAGUGAAGUCUUUCUUUAUAAACUCUUCUUGUUCUCUCUUUAAAAACACAUAAUAUCUUGUUCUUAUUCUCUCGUUAAACUCCCAAGUCCGUAACGAGAACAACACAAAAAGUUUCAAUAUCAACUCUCUCUUCUGUUCUUGUUCUUGUGUCUCUUCUUCUUGUUCACUCUUUCAAGUUUCAGUAACAUAGUCUCUUCUUCUUGUUCACUCAUUAAAUUUUCAAAUCUAUACCAAAAGAAUCCGAAACUAUUUCUUUUUCUCGAAAACUCUUUAUCCCUCUUAUAACUUCAAAUCCGUACCAAAAGAAUCAAAAACUCUACACAUAUAUGGCAUCUUCUUCUUAUAACAUUUUCGAGGGAUCAAUUGAUGAAACUUUUGAUCAAUAUUUUGAUCAACAUUUUGAUCAAACGUUCGAGAAUUUUUUUAUUGAUUGUGGUGAUCAAGAAGAAGAAAGGAAAAGAAGGAAAAAACGAGUUUAUAUCUAACAAAAUCAUGAAGAAGGCGAUGUACAUUUAUGGAAUGAUUAUUUCAGCGAAGAUCCAACACAUCCUGAAAAUCUAUUCUGACGACGAUUUAGAAUGAACAAACCAUUGCUCAUGCAUAUUGUUGACUGACUCUCCAAUGAAGUUUAAUUCUUUCAACAAAAGAGAGAUGGUCUCGGCAGGCUUAGUCUCUCUCCACUUCAAAAGUGUACCGCAUCCAUUUGUGUCUUGGCAUAUGGUAGUGCGGCUGAUGCGGUCGACGAAUACCUCCGACUCGGUGCAACAACUACUCGGUCAUGUUUGGAAAAUUUUAUGGACGGAAUAAUUUUUUUAUUCGGCGAUUAGUACCUAAGAAGACCAACACCUGCUGAUCUUCAACGUCUACUUGAUAUUGGUGAGCAUCGUGGAUUUCCCGGGAUGAUAGGAAGCAUCGAUUGUAUGCAUUGGGGGUGGAAGAAUUGUUCCACCGCUUGGAAAGGGCAAUAUUCUCGGGGUUCGGGUAAACCAACAAUUGUUUUAGAGGCGGUUGCUUCAUAUGAUCUCUGGAUAUGGCAUGCGUUUUUUGGACCUCCAGGUACCUUAAAUGGUAUCAAUGUUCUUGAUCGAUCACCGGUUUUUGAUGACAUAAUAAAGGGUCAAGCUCCACAAGUCACUUACUCUGUCAACGGAAGAGAGUAUCAUUUGGCGUACUAUCUCACCGAUGGUAUUUAUCCGAAAUGAGCAACUUUUAUCCAAUCUAUUCCAAUAACACAAGGGCCAAAAGCAGUUUUAUUUGCUCAACGUCAAGAAGUUGUCCGAAAAGAUGUCGAGCGUGCUUUUGGAGUCUUGCAAGCUCGCUUUGCCAUUGUUAAAAAUCCAGCACUUUUUUGGGAUAAACUCAAAAUUGGUAAGAUUAUGAGAGAUUGUAUCAUACUUUAUAAUAUGAUAGUAGAAGAUGAACGAGAUGGGUAGACUCAAUUUGACGUUUCAGAGUUCCUACAAGGAGAAGACAACGAGAGUUCACAAGUCGAUCUCACAUAUUCUACAUAUAUCCCUACAAAUAUCGCCAAUAUGAUGGGUGUUCGAAUUAGAAUUCUUGAUAGACAAAUGCAUCAACAAUUGAAAGAUGAUUUGGUUGAACAUGUGUGGUGUAAAUUUGGACGUGAUGAAGACAACAACUAAUCUUUUUUUUUUAUGUUUUUAUUUAAAAUUCAAUGUUUAAAAUGUUAUCUUU